Molecule: ribosomal RNA, 460 nt
Filed under: uncultured bacterium
Lineage: Bacteria
Description: partial 16S ribosomal RNA
Rfam family: Bacterial small subunit ribosomal RNA
Source: RNAcentral
CCUACGGGAGGCAGCAGUGAGGAAUAUUGGUCAAUGGACGAGAGUCUGAACCAGCCAAGUAGCGUGAAGGAUGACUGCCCUAUGGGUUGUAAACUUCUUUUAUAUGGGAAUAAAAUGUUCCACGUGUGGGAUUUUGUAUGUACCAUAUGAAUAAGGAUCGGCUAACUCCGUGCCAGCAGCCGCGGUAAUACGGAGGAUCCGAGCGUUAUCCGGAUUUAUUGGGUGUAAAGGGAGCGUAGGUGGAGUGUUAAGUCAGUUGUGAAAGUUUGCGGCUCAACCGUAAAAUUGCAGUUGAAACUGGCAGUCUUGAGUACAGUAGAGGUGGGCGGAAUUCGUGGUGUAGCGGUGAAAUGCUUAGAUAGCACGAAGAACUCCGAUUGCGAAGGCAGUUCACUGGACUGCAACUGACACUGAGGCUCGAAAGUGUGGGUAUCAAACAGGAUUAGAUACCCCUGUAGUC